Molecule: non-coding RNA, 72 nt
Organism: Phthorimaea operculella (potato tuberworm)
Lineage: Eukaryota; Metazoa; Arthropoda; Insecta; Lepidoptera; Gelechiidae
Source: the annotation of a GenBank genome assembly
AACCGAUGCGGCGCAAUCGUAGUGCGAAUGCCUGCGAAGCAGAAGGUUUCGGGUUCGAUUCCCGGUGGGUUA